AUUGAACGCUGGCGGCAGGCCUAACACAUGCAAGUCGAGCGGAUGAAGGGAGCUUGCUCCUGGAUUCAGCGGCGGACGGGUGAGUAAUGCCUAGGAAUCUGCCUGGUAGUUGGGGAUAACGUCCGGAAACGGGCGCUAAUACCGCAUACGUCCUGAGGGUGAAAGUGGGGGAUCUUCGGACCUCACGCUAUCAGAUGAGCCUAGGUCGGAUUAGCUAGUUGGUGGGGUAAAGGCCUACCAAGGCGACGAUCCGUAACUGGUCUGAGAGGAUGAUCAGUCACACUGGAACUGAGACACGGUCCAGACUCCUACGGGAGGCAGCAGUGGGGAAUAUUGGACAAUGGGCGAAAGCCUGAUCCAGCCAUGCCGCGUGUGUGAAGAAGGUCUUCGGAUUGUAAAGCACUUUAAGUUGGGAGGAAGGGCAGUAAGUUAAUACCUUGCUGUUUUGACGUUACCAACAGAAUAAGCACCGGCUAACUUCGU
RNAcentral lists this ribosomal RNA (483 nucleotides) under uncultured bacterium. RNAcentral describes it as "partial 16S ribosomal RNA". It matches the Rfam family "Bacterial small subunit ribosomal RNA", at positions 30 to 506 of the family's 1533-position model. The record is from RNAcentral.